Dermacentor albipictus is the source of this 941-nucleotide long non-coding RNA. RefSeq lists it as uncharacterized. NCBI's taxonomy places the organism in Eukaryota, Metazoa, Arthropoda, Arachnida, Ixodida, Ixodidae. The record is from RefSeq and is a predicted model, not a curated record.
AAACCAGGCGCUAUUCUCUGACGUAUUCCAAUGCAUCUGGCGCGGCAUUUUAAGUGGCCAUCCAAUUAGAAGAUGCAAACGAGCAGCGCUUGUGCAUAUCUUCGUUGCUUCGCCCCGUCGUCUGGAAUGUUCGUAAGACUCGCGAAUAUUGCCAGAUAUUGCUCCAAACCAUUGGAGGCUGCGACUACAAAUUGUGACGCAGAUAGGUCACAUAAAGCACAAAGGUGUGCCUUGCAUAGACACACCUUUGCUUUGCCAGGUUAGACUCGCAGGCAAGGCUUGACAGUUUUAGAUUAGCGGAUGCAGGUGCCUCGUACGCAGAUCGCUUCAGUCCCACCGAAAACACAAGCAGUCCUUGGGUUCUUUGGUAAGCAAGCCGCUUGCGUCCCCUAAUAUCAAAACUCUACUGAUUCAAGUUUGCAGUACGAGGCGAGCUAUUGAACUAAGACUUGAGUAAAUCUAGCGUAGCAAAAAACCUCACGGAACCUCAAAUAAUUUACUUCAAUCUUCCUUGAACUUGAACCCAGGACUAUAUAAGUGUGACACCGUGCAGCGCGGCAUUCUAUGGGCUCGGUGGCACGACAGCCAUGACAACAGCCGCUUACCUGCGACGCCUUUUCGUUCUGCAGCAAUCAUUGUCAUCAGGAGUGGUGCCGGAAGACUGGAGAGUAGGCAAGAUUGUUCCAGUCCCCAAAAAAGCUAUACUACCAGCUCAUCGUCAGUCCAGCCGCAUUAGCCACAGCAAAGCCGUGUAUCCUCCCCCGGCGCAGACUACCUCUCAUCUACGAUCAUUUUUUGUGAAAACCGCCAGGGACUGGAACGGUCUGUCUGCCGACAUCACGCACCACUCCGACACUCAUCACUUCAAGGCUGCUCUAGAAUCACUGUUUGUUAAAGCCCAUCCCUCAUGUAAUACCCCAUCUCUGGGGCCUUUGAGGUAU